CUUGACACAGGGUCAUUUUGACAUGACCUAAAUAUCAAGCCAGUAAGUUGUCAGUGUGUAUUGUGAUGCCUUAGCAUGCUGCAGGGAGAUGGGGAGGGGGUGACGGGACAUGUGCAGUAGCAUCAAGGAUGGAGGAGGCUCAGGACUAAGACACAGAAUGAGGAGAAGGUCAGAAAUAGUAAAGGGUCAGGGAUACCAUGGUUGCACUCAGUACUGUCACUAUGCUGAGCACUGGGGAAGUAACUACCCAAGACCUAGUCCUGCUCUCGAGGAGGUCAGUCUGUUAGGACAGAUCAGAGAGUGGAAUAGGCUCCGUGGAUGCAGAGGAACCAUGGACCGUGGAGGAGCUCUUCUGGGAGUGGUGUGUCUCUUUGGUGGUUGCAUCUCCUGCCAUUGAGGUCCCUGCUUGACUUUGUUCCUCCAGCAUAGGAGUGGGAACAGCUUCUUAUUGCUGUCUGUCUGUGGGAUAGCCUGGCAUCCUCUGUUGGGCUCUCAGCUCUUCUUUCCCCUGCAUGACCAGUUCCCCUGCAGUAAAUUCCCUCUGUAAGACAUAUGGUGGUUUCAAUUCUCCUGGUAGGCCCUUAACCAAUGCCAAGUCCGAGCUCAGAUUUGAAGGAGAGGGUGGAAGAGGAUUGUUGUGCCAAGGACUAAUGGCGAGCCAGGCAGGCAGACCCUGCCUCUUUGGAACUCUCAGUCAGAUGGAAAAGACAGACAUCAAUUAAUUCACUGCCCAAAUAACUAUAUGAUUACCAACAAUGGUCAGUGUGUGAAGGGGAAGUAGGAUAGCUUUAGAACAACUCAGUGAUGAGACAUCCAACAUAAAGGGUCAUUAGGACUCCCUGAAGAGUGAUGUUUGAGCUGAGCACUGAGACCUGAGCUAGGAGGUAACCCACCUGAGGCAGCUCAAAGACCAAUGAGUCAUAUGCAGAAGUUGUGAUGUAGGAGGGAGCUCUCAAGGGUCUGAAAGAAGGUCAGUGCGACUAGAGCAUCAAUAGUAAAGAGCUUUAUUUGGGAGGAGCAGGAAAGAUAGGCAGAAGGCAGCUUGUAAAGGGCCUUGUGGGUUUGGGUUUGGGAAAAACAGUCAAGUUAGAGUGGUAUGGUUUCCUUGGAACAGAAGGAAAUAUUGUCUAGGGCUAGAAGCCACCUAAGGAAGGCCUUAGCUGGGCCGCAGGAGAUCAGGGACAGAUGCUACUCCACCCCCAACCCCGCUGUGGGAUUUGAGCAACCAGUUUGCUUCCCAAGAAAUGAGGUAGCACAUAAUGCACAGAGGCCAUGUGAAAGAACUGCAGGAUCCAGACACCAGGAAGAAGUUUCUAGAAGUUUAUAACCAUAGAGGGGCCUGCCAUCCUCAAAGAAGCCCUUGAAGUCAAUGAUGGGUAUCCAGAGUGAAGGAUGGA
RNAcentral lists this long non-coding RNA (1397 nucleotides) under Vulpes vulpes (red fox). RNAcentral's name for it is "lncRNA (ENSVVUG00000003009.1)". Lineage: Eukaryota; Metazoa; Chordata; Mammalia; Carnivora; Canidae. The record is from RNAcentral.